AAUCAUGGCUCAGGAUGAACGCUGGCGGCGUGCUUAACACAUGCAAGUCGAACGAUGACUUUUGUGCUUGCACAAGAUGAUUAGUGGCGAACGGGUGAGUAACACGUGAGUAACCUGCCCCUGACUCUGGGAUAAGCCUGGGAAACUGGGUCUAAUACCGGAUAUGCACCGUGGACCGCAUGGUUCUUGGUGGAAAGAUUUUUUGGUCAGGGAUGGACUCGCGGCCUAUCAGCUUGUUGGUGAGGUAAUGGCUCACCAAGGCGACGACGGGUAGCCGGCCUGAGAGGGUGACCGGCCACACUGGGACUGAGACACGGCCCAGACUCCUACGGGAGGCAGCAGUGGGGAAUAUUGCACAAUGGGCGAAAGCCUGAUGCAGCGACGCCGCGUGAGGGAUGACGGCCUUCGGGUUGUAAACCUCUUUCAGUAGGGAAGAAGCGAAAGUGACGGUACCUGCAGAAGAAGCGCCGGCUAACUACGUGCCAGCAGCCGCGGUAAUACGUAGGGCGCAAGCGUUAUCCGGAAUUAUUGGGCGUAAAGAGCUCGUAGGCGGUUUGUCGCGUCUGCCGUGAAAGUCCGAGGCUCAACCUCGGAUCUGCGGUGGGUACGGGCAGACUAGAGUGAUGUAGGGGAGACUGGAAUUCCUGGUGUAGCGGUGAAAUGCGCAGAUAUCAGGAGGAACACCGAUGGCGAAGGCAGGUCUCUGGGCAUUAACUGACGCUGAGGAGCGAAAGCAUGGGGAGCGAACAGGAUUAGAUACCCUGGUAGUCCAUGCCGUAAACGUUGGGCACUAGGUGUGGGGGACAUUCCACG
RNAcentral lists this ribosomal RNA (813 nucleotides) under Paeniglutamicibacter sp. Its description in RNAcentral is "bacterial SSU rRNA". It matches the Rfam family "Bacterial small subunit ribosomal RNA", at positions 15 to 845 of the family's 1533-position model. The record is from RNAcentral. Lineage: Bacteria; Bacillati; Actinomycetota; Actinomycetes; Micrococcales; Micrococcaceae.